CUUGCUAGGUGGAUUAGUGGCGCACGGGUGAGUAAUAUAUAGAUAACGUGCCUCUUAGUCUGGGAUAGCCAUUGGAAACGAUGAUUAAUACUAGAUACUCCUUCUAACUCUAAUGUUAGUUGGGAAAGUUUUUCGCUAAGAGAUCGGUCUAUAUCCCAUCAGCUAGUUGGUAGUGUAAGAGACUACCAAGGCAAUGACGGGUAGCGGGUUUGAGAGGAUGAUCCGCCACACUGGUACUGAGACACGGACCAGACUCCUACGGGAGGCAGCAGUGAGGAAUAUUGCACAAUGGAGGAAACUCUGAUGCAGCAACGCCGCGUGGAGGAUGACGCAUUUCGGUGUGUAAACUCCUUUUAUAUGUCAAGAAAAUGACGGUAGCAUAUGAAUAAGCACCGGCUAACUCCGUGCCAGCAGCCGCGGUAAUACGGAGGGUGCAAGCGUUAUUCGGAAUCACUGGGCGUAAAGGACGCGUAGGCGGGAUGCCAAGUCUGAUGU
RNAcentral lists this ribosomal RNA (495 nucleotides) under uncultured Campylobacterota bacterium. RNAcentral's name for it is "bacterial SSU rRNA". It matches the Rfam family "Bacterial small subunit ribosomal RNA", at positions 79 to 595 of the family's 1533-position model. Lineage: Bacteria; Pseudomonadati; Campylobacterota. The record is from RNAcentral.